GGGAAGUUGGCUCAGUGGUAGAGUGUUUGCCUUGCAUGCAUGAGACCCUGGGUUCAAUUCCUCAACACCACA
This 72-nucleotide transfer RNA is filed under the name Dipodomys ordii (Ord's kangaroo rat). It matches the Rfam family "tRNA". Rfam says of the family: Transfer RNA (tRNA) molecules are approximately 80 nucleotides in length. Their secondary structure includes four short double-helical elements and three loops (D, anti-codon, and T loops). Further hydrogen bonds mediate the characteristic L-shaped molecular structure. tRNAs have two regions of fundamental functional importance: the anti-codon, which is responsible for specific mRNA codon recognition, and the 3' end, to which the tRNAs corresponding amino acid is attached (by aminoacyl-tRNA synthetases). tRNAs cope with the degeneracy of the genetic code in two manners: having more than one tRNA (with a specific anti-codon) for a particular amino acid; and 'wobble' base-pairing, i.e. permitting non-standard base-pairing at the 3rd anti-codon position. The record is from Rfam by way of RNAcentral. Lineage: Eukaryota; Metazoa; Chordata; Mammalia; Rodentia; Heteromyidae.